RNAcentral lists this ribosomal RNA (422 nucleotides) under uncultured bacterium. RNAcentral's name for it is "partial 16S ribosomal RNA". It matches the Rfam family "Bacterial small subunit ribosomal RNA", at positions 359 to 774 of the family's 1533-position model. The record is from RNAcentral.
UAUAUUGGACAAUGGGCGAAAGCCUUAUCCAGCCAUGCCGCGUGUGUGAAGAAGGUCUUCGGAUUGUUUUGCACUUUAUGUUGGGAGGAAGGGCAGUACGUUACUAUCUUGCUGUUUUUACGUUACCGUCAGACUAAGCACCGGCUUACUUCGUGCCAGCAGCCGCGGUAAUUCGAAGGGUUCAAGCGUUAAUCGGAAUUACUGGGCUUAAAGCGCGCGUAGGUGGUUUGUUAAGUUGGAAGUGAAAGCCCCGGGCUCAACCAGGGAACUGCUUUCAAAACUGGCAAGCUAGAGUAUGGCAGAGGGUGGUGGAAUUUCCUGUGUAGCGGUGAAAUGCGUAGAUAUAGGAAGGAACACCAGUGGCGAAGGCGACCACCUGGGCUAAUACUGACACUGAGGUGCGAAAGCGUGGGGAGCAAACA